Molecule: ribosomal RNA, 448 nt
Filed under: uncultured bacterium
Lineage: Bacteria
Description: SSU rRNA
Rfam family: Bacterial small subunit ribosomal RNA
Source: RNAcentral
AGAACGAACGCUGGCGGCAUGCCUAACACAUGCAAGUCGAACGCCUGUAGCAAUACAGGAGUGGCGCACGGGUGAGUAACGCGUGGGAACCUACCCUGGAGUGGGGGAUAACCGAGGGAAACUUCGGCUAAUACCCCAUACGACCUGAGGGUGAAAGAUUUAUCGCUCUAGGAGGGGCCCGCGUCGGAUUAGCUAGUUGGUGAGGUAACGGCCCACCAAGGCGAUGAUCCGUAGCUGGUCUGAGAGGAUGAUCAGCCACACUGGGACUGAGACACGGCCCAGACUCCUACGGGAGGCAGCAGUGGGGAAUAUUGGACAAUGGGGGCAACCCUGAUCCAGCAAUGCCGCGUGAGUGAUGAAGGCCUUAGGGUUGUAAAGCUCUUUCGGCGGGGACGAUGAUGACGGUACCCGCAGAAGAAGCCCCGGCUAACUUCGUGCCAGCAGCCGC